RNAcentral lists this ribosomal RNA (2759 nucleotides) under Klebsiella pneumoniae. Its description in RNAcentral is "bacterial LSU rRNA". It matches the Rfam family "Bacterial large subunit ribosomal RNA". RNAcentral also lists the same sequence under 1 other name. Lineage: Bacteria; Pseudomonadati; Pseudomonadota; Gammaproteobacteria; Enterobacterales; Enterobacteriaceae. The record is from RNAcentral.
CACUAUCGUUAACUGAAUACAUAGGUUAACGAGGCGAACCGGGGGAACUGAAACAUCUAAGUACCCCGAGGAAAAGAAAUCAACCGAGAUUCCCCCAGUAGCGGCGAGCGAACGGGGAGCAGCCCAGAGUCUGAAUCAGCUUGUGUGUUAGUGGAACGGUCUGGAAAGUCCGACGGUACAGGGUGAUAGUCCCGUACACCAAAAUGCACAGGUUGUGAACUCGAAGAGUAGGGCGGGACACGUGGUAUCCUGUCUGAAUAUGGGGGGACCAUCCUCCAAGGCUAAAUACUCCUGACUGACCGAUAGUGAACCAGUACCGUGAGGGAAAGGCGAAAAGAACCCCGGCGAGGGGAGUGAAAAAGAACCUGAAACCGUGUACGUACAAGCAGUGGGAGCACCUUUAUGGUGUGACUGCGUACCUUUUGUAUAAUGGGUCAGCGACUUAUAUUCUGUAGCAAGGUUAACCGUAUAGGGGAGCCGCAGGGAAACCGAGUCUUAACUGGGCGUUAAGUUGCAGGGUAUAGACCCGAAACCCGGUGAUCUAGCCAUGGGCAGGUUGAAGGUUGGGUAACACUAACUGGAGGACCGAACCGACUAAUGUUGAAAAAUUAGCGGAUGACUUGUGGCUGGGGGUGAAAGGCCAAUCAAACCGGGAGAUAGCUGGUUCUCCCCGAAAGCUAUUUAGGUAGCGCCUCGUGAACUCAUCUUCGGGGGUAGAGCACUGUUUCGGCUAGGGGGUCAUCCCGACUUACCAACCCGAUGCAAACUACGAAUACCGAAGAAUGUUAUCACGGGAGACACACGGCGGGUGCUAACGUCCGUCGUGAAGAGGGAAACAACCCAGACCGCCAGCUAAGGUCCCAAAGUCAUGGUUAAGUGGGAAACGAUGUGGGAAGGCACAGACAGCCAGGAUGUUGGCUUAGAAGCAGCCAUCAUUUAAAGAAAGCGUAAUAGCUCACUGGUCGAGUCGGCCUGCGCGGAAGAUGUAACGGGGCUAAACCAUGCACCGAAGCUGCGGCAGCGACACUAUGUGUUGUUGGGUAGGGGAGCGUUCUGUAAGCCUGCGAAGGUGACCUGUGAGGGCUGCUGGAGGUAUCAGAAGUGCGAAUGCUGACAUAAGUAACGAUAAAGCGGGUGAAAAGCCCGCUCGCCGGAAGACCAAGGGUUCCUGUCCAACGUUAAUCGGGGCAGGGUGAGUCGACCCCUAAGGCGAGGCCGAAAGGCGUAGUCGAUGGGAAACAGGUUAAUAUUCCUGUACUUGGUGUUACUGCGAAGGGGGGACGGAGAAGGCUAUGUUAGCCGGGCGACGGUUGUCCCGGUUUAAGCAUGUAGGCUGGUUAUCCAGGCAAAUCCGGAUAAUCAAGGCUGAGGUGUGAUGACGAGGCACUACGGUGCUGAAGUAACAAAUGCCCUGCUUCCAGGAAAAGCCUCUAAGCAUCAGGUAACAUCAAAUCGUACCCCAAACCGACACAGGUGGUCAGGUAGAGAAUACCAAGGCGCUUGAGAGAACUCGGGUGAAGGAACUAGGCAAAAUGGUGCCGUAACUUCGGGAGAAGGCACGCUGGUGUGUAGGUGAAGUCCCUGCGGAUGGAGCUGAGACCAGUCGAAGAUACCAGCUGGCUGCAACUGUUUAUUAAAAACACAGCACUGUGCAAACACGAAAGUGGACGUAUACGGUGUGACGCCUGCCCGGUGCCGGAAGGUUAAUUGAUGGGGUUAUCCGUAAGGAGAAGCUCUUGAUCGAAGCCCCGGUAAACGGCGGCCGUAACUAUAACGGUCCUAAGGUAGCGAAAUUCCUUGUCGGGUAAGUUCCGACCUGCACGAAUGGCGUAAUGAUGGCCAGGCUGUCUCCACCCGAGACUCAGUGAAAUUGAACUCGCUGUGAAGAUGCAGUGUACCCGCGGCAAGACGGAAAGACCCCGUGAACCUUUACUAUAGCUUGACACUGAACAUUGAGCCUUGAUGUGUAGGAUAGGUGGGAGGCUUUGAAGCGUGGACGCCAGUCUGCGUGGAGCCAACCUUGAAAUACCACCCUUUAAUGUUUGAUGUUCUAACGUUGGCCCCUUAUCGGGGUUGCGGACAGUGUCUGGUGGGUAGUUUGACUGGGGCGGUCUCCUCCCAAAGCGUAACGGAGGAGCACGAAGGUUAGCUAAUCCUGGUCGGACAUCAGGAGGUUAGUGCAAUGGCAUAAGCUAGCUUGACUGCGAGCGUGACGGCGCGAGCAGGUGCGAAAGCAGGUCAUAGUGAUCCGGUGGUUCUGAAUGGAAGGGCCAUCGCUCAACGGAUAAAAGGUACUCCGGGGAUAACAGGCUGAUACCGCCCAAGAGUUCAUAUCGACGGCGGUGUUUGGCACCUCGAUGUCGGCUCAUCACAUCCUGGGGCUGAAGUAGGUCCCAAGGGUAUGGCUGUUCGCCAUUUAAAGUGGUACGCGAGCUGGGUUUAGAACGUCGUGAGACAGUUCGGUCCCUAUCUGCCGUGGGCGCUGGAGAAUUGAGGGGGGCUGCUCCUAGUACGAGAGGACCGGAGUGGACGCAUCACUGGUGUUCGGGUUGUCAUGCCAAUGGCACUGCCCGGUAGCUAAAUGCGGAAGAGAUAAGUGCUGAAAGCAUCUAAGCACGAAACUUGCCCCGAGAUGAGUUCUCCCUGAGACUAUAAGUCUCCUGAAGGAACGUUAAAGACGAUGACGUUGAUAGGCCGGGUGUGUAAGCGCAGCGAUGCGUUGAGCUAACCGGUACUAAUGAACCGUGAGGCUUAACCUU